This 2478-nucleotide long non-coding RNA is filed under the name Mus musculus (house mouse). RNAcentral's name for it is "long non-coding RNA chr13:104819535-104822013". The record is from RNAcentral. Lineage: Eukaryota; Metazoa; Chordata; Mammalia; Rodentia; Muridae.
AGUUGGCCUGCUGUCACUGCCCAUCAUUUGGGCAGGCGCUGGAGCACUGGUAGAGUAUGAACACACCAGGAGACACACCGUAAAACUUUAGGAAUGAUAAUUUGCUCCUGAAGAAAAGGGACAAAAAGUGAUUUUUCUUCUAGCUUUGUUUGAGAUGCUCUUAAACUUGAGACCAGUGUUAAAAAAAAUGUUAACCUUUCAAUUCAAAAUAAUGUUUCAAAGCAUAAUAAUAAAUUGUGUCAUUAAGCCAGAUGGAAUGACUUACAUAAACUGCUUAAACCCACCCCCCCCAAAAAAAUCAAGAUAAUAGGCUUGACAGGUGGCACAAACGCACAAUGCAACUGCUUUAGAAAGUGCAGAUACAGAAGAUGUUAAGAUAAUUUCUUGGAUGAUCGAUCCAGAUGCUGCACGGAAGGAAAAUGGGGCUCCAUUGAGGUGAUCAUCAAGAAGGACAAGUAUUGUGUCAUGCUCUUUUAUUUUAGGUGUGAUGGAUUCAGCUUGGGGUGAUUGUGCUCCUGGUUAUUAUAAGGUAUAACUAUAGAGUAAUGAGGCUGCUUUUCAGAAGCCACCAGCCUUGUCUGCUUCAGUGGUCACGUGUUUCCACCACAUUGAAUGCCAGCUUAAACUAUUAUGUAGGUAACAAUGAGAUACUGAAGAUCUUCGGGAAAAAAAAAUCUUAGACACUUAGUCAUUUGACAAAUGGCAUUGAACAUAGGAUUCAGUGAAGUUUACUUUCUUUGGAACAUUUCUUUGCUCAUUCACAGUUGUUCAGCCUAGCCCAGCUGUUGAAGUUGUAUUAGUAAGUCUCCAUUCUCCAUCAAGAGUUGACCUGGUUCAAGUAGCAGCAUGUGUUGCCGAGAAGGAUGGUGCAGAUGCUGACCUUGUUCUGUCUGUGUAGCCAGGGCAGAGGAUGAAAUGGCAGGGUCAGCAUCCCUGUCUCACAUCCCUUCAGCAUAUUGCCAAAGCAUCUUUGUAAUAACAGAAGUGGGAAGUCACACCACAGCCAAUUUUCCUCAUUCCUCAGUCAAACUGUAGGUAACGUCUUUCCUCUCACACGUGGCUGCUAAAAUAGUGUUCAUGAAUCAUGUCUCAUUCUGUCAUUCCUGAGGGGCAGCAAUCUGUGGAUUUUGUAAUUCUCUUUAAGCCACUUAACCUUUCAUAGGCUCUUUCCUUGUCCCCAUAACUAGGGGGACAGUAUCUUGAAUUUCUUCAAGCUUCUCAAAUAUUCCAGUUCCCUUCUCUGCAAGAAUGAUGUGUGUAACCUGAUCAUGACCUUUCUACCUUUUCCUGCCAUUCUUAUGUAUUCUCCAAUCACACACACAACCACACACAACAACAACAACAACAAAAAACAAACAAACAAAAAACCCCAAACACUUGACUUCUUCAGCUCUUUUCUGACCUCUCAGGUGUUUUUCCACCUGUGCUGUGUGUCUUUGUCAUCUCUUCAUUAUUGGCUUUCUUACUUGGAGGCCAUUGCAUACCUGCCUUAAAUUUUCAGCUGUCUGUCUCUUUUUUAUGCUUAUGAGCAAAACUAUAUGUUGUUUCUCAUGUUGGCCAGCACAGUCUGUCCUGCAGUACAGCCAUGUGUACACUAACCCAGGGAGUCUAGUACAAUGUAGCUUCUUAUAGUGAGGGACUUCAUUCAUGUUUAUGGCUUUUCCAAUACCAGUUCAGAGUUACACCCAUUUACAGGAUUUAUAGCUCAUUUAUGAUAACCACAAUCCAGUGCUGGAAGUCUUGAUUCUGCUUCCUCAGACAAUAGAUUAUAUUCCCAGGACUUAUGGGUACCUGGGCUCCCCAGUUAAGAUCUCAUUGAUUUGGGGCAGACCAAAGAGGGAAGUUGGGGAUCUUGAGUUAGGGAAAGACCACCACAGGCUGCUGUGCUUAUCUCAGUUGGAGACAGUUCAACAUGUUUUUGAAGGAGACUUCAAGAUCUUUCUAACCUGUGCCUGUUGUAACUCUUGCUCAGUGUAGCUCAAAUCUUCCUGAAACUCACAAGACAGCAGGUGGGCCUCAAGCUAACUGCUCCAGCUGCAGUCUCUGAUUGGUGGGCAUCACAUACCCAGGUUGGCUUUUUUUUUUCAUAGAUUAUUUUGUGAGGCAAAUGGAAGAAUUUUAUGUGUUUGCCUAAGUUAGCUAUUUCAUAUCAGUAGUUUAAGGGAUUCUAACUGGCUUAUCUGUCUCUUGGAGUUCAAAUGAUUAAGAAGACAUUUUAAUCUAAACAAUAGGACCUCUUUUAAGAAAUUCAGUUAGCCUACUUUUUAAAUUUGUGAGGAAUUUCUAAUUUCUAGUUUGUUUGUUUGUUUGUUUGUUUGUUCUGUAUUUCAGUUUCAUUACUCCAUGUAAGAUCCUGAGGAGAGUAUAUCCACAACUAUUACUAUAAGCCAUUCGAAGGGAUUAAACACUUGAGAGUUUUUUGCCUUUGACUUUCACAGGACAGAAUUAUGUUUUAUACAGGCAUCUGCAUGUCUAUGU